GCAUUUUCCAUCAAUACACUAUUUAAAAAUUCAUUUUUCCCCUCAAAAUGGGGCUCAAACAAGGGCAUUAUACUUCUAGAACUAGAAUUUCUUGGUUCAGAGGGUGAAUCCAUCUAAUUUGAUCAACUAUUAAUGAAUAAUCCUAAUGUGGACGAAUUUGGUCAAAGAGAUGCAGAAAUAGUACUCUCAAGAUUCAUUACGUGACAUGCUAGCCAAAGUUGUUAGUUCUCUG
Molecule: long non-coding RNA, 232 nt
Filed under: Olea europaea (common olive)
Lineage: Eukaryota; Viridiplantae; Streptophyta; Magnoliopsida; Lamiales; Oleaceae
Description: long non-coding RNA (OEUR_LNC001917)
Source: RNAcentral